GUGGUUUGUCGCGUCGUCUGUGAAAUUCUGGGGCUUAACUCCGGGCGUGCAGGCGAUACGGGCAUAACUUGAGUGCUGUAGGGGUAACUGGAAUUCCUGGUGUAGCGGUGAAAUGCGCAGAUAUCAGGAGGAACACCGAUGGCGAAGGCAGGUUACUGGGCAGUUACUGACGCUGAGGAGCGAAAGCAUGGGUAGCGAACAGGAUUAGAUACCCUGGUAGUCCAUGCCGUAAACGGUGGGCGCUAGGUGUGAGGGUCUUUCUACGACUUUCGUGCCGUAGCUAACGCAUUAAGCGCCCCGCCUGGGGAGUACGGCCGCAAGGCUAAAACUCAAAGGAAUUGACGGGGGCCCGCACAAGCGGCGGAGCAUGUGGAUUAAUUCGAUGCAACGCGAAGAACCUUACCUGGGCUUGACAUACACCAGAUUGGGCUAGAGAUAGUUCGUCCCUUUGUGGUUGGUGUACAGGUGGUGCAUGGUUGUCGUCAGCUCGUGUCGUGAGAUGUUGGGUUAAGUCCCGCAACGAGCGCAACCCUUGUCUUAUGUUGCCAGCAUUUGGUUGGGGACUCAUGAGAGACUGCCGGGGUUAACUCGGAGGAAGGUGGGGAUGACGUCAAAUCAUCAUGCCCCUUAUGUCCAGGGCUUCACACAUGCUACAAUGGUCGGUACAACGCGCUGCGACACUGUGAGGUGGAGCGAAUCGCUGAAAGCCGGCCUUAGUUCGGAUUGGGGUCUGCAACUCGACCCCAUGAAGUCGGAGUCGCUAGUAAU
Molecule: ribosomal RNA, 768 nt
Filed under: uncultured Actinomycetales bacterium
Lineage: Bacteria; Bacillati; Actinomycetota; Actinomycetes; Actinomycetales
Description: bacterial SSU rRNA
Rfam family: Bacterial small subunit ribosomal RNA
Source: RNAcentral